UACGGAGGGUGCAAGCGUUGUCCGGAAUUAUUGGGCGUAAAGAGCUCGUAGGCGGUUUGUCGCGUCGAAUGUGAAAACCCGGGGCUCAACCCCGGGCCUGCAUUCGAUACGGGCAGACUAGAGUUCGGUAGGGGAGUCUGGAAUUCCUGGUGUAGCGGUGAAAUGCGCAGAUAUCGGGAAGAACACCCGUGGCGAAGGCGGCUCUCUGGGACGGUACUGACGCUGAGACGCGAAAGCGUGGGGAGCGAACAGG
This 253-nucleotide ribosomal RNA is filed under the name uncultured bacterium. Its description in RNAcentral is "partial 16S ribosomal RNA". It matches the Rfam family "Bacterial small subunit ribosomal RNA", at positions 524 to 776 of the family's 1533-position model. The record is from RNAcentral.